RNAcentral lists this unclassified non-coding RNA (240 nucleotides) under soil metagenome. Its description in RNAcentral is "partial contains 5.8S ribosomal RNA, internal transcribed spacer 2, and large subunit ribosomal RNA". The record is from RNAcentral.
AAGACUAUAGACCUGCGGAGUACCUGCGGAGGGAUCAUUAUCGUAUUGUAACAAUUGGGGGGGCCACCGUGGGCUGUCGCUGACCCUUUGAAAGGGGGGUCGUGCACGCCCCCAUAGUGUCAUCCUCAUACAAUCCAACUCACCUCUGUGCAUCACCGCGUGGGUUCCUUUCUGGGUCGAGUCAGACUGGCUCAGAAAAAAGGGGCUUGCGUUUUCCAUGCAAAUACCCUUAUAAAUCCA